This 773-nucleotide ribosomal RNA is filed under the name uncultured Neocallimastigales. RNAcentral describes it as "partial large subunit ribosomal RNA". It matches the Rfam family "Eukaryotic large subunit ribosomal RNA", at positions 24 to 637 of the family's 3401-position model. Lineage: Eukaryota; Fungi; Neocallimastigomycota; Neocallimastigomycetes; Neocallimastigales. The record is from RNAcentral.
GUAGUCUCGCACAGAUGCAUAUCAAUAAGCGGAGGAAAAGAAACUAACAAGGAUUCCCCUAGUAACGGCGAGUGAAGCGGGAAGAGCUCAAAUUUGAAAUCUUAAAGGGUUUCCCUUUACGAAUUGUAGUUUAAAGAAGUGUUUUCUGUUGAGGUUUUGGUAAAAGUUCUUUGGAAUAGGACAUCAUAGAGGGUGAGAAUCCCGUAUUUGACCUUUACUUUCAACUUUGUGAUACACUUUCAAAGAGUCGGAUUGUUUGGGAAUGCAGUCCAAAAUGGGUGGUAAAUUUCAUCUAAAGCUAAAUAUUGGCGAGAGACCGAUAGCGAACAAGUACCGUGAGGGAAAGAUGAAAAGAACUUUGAAAAGAGAGUUAAACAGUACGUGAAAUUGUCAAAAGGGAAGCGUUUGACACCAGUGUUGUUUUUCUGAAAUCAAUUAAAGAACUGUUUAUGCUAAGUUGUUUAGACUUUAUCAGCUAACUGUUUAGUUUUGAGCUUUUCUUUAAUGCACUUUUCAGUUAACAAGUCAACAUCAAUUUCUUUUGCUGUAAAAAAGCUUGAGGAAGGUGGCUUGAGAUUCGUCUUAAGUGUUUAUAGCCUCUUGCCUAUGCAGUCGGAGAGAUUGAGGUCUGCAGCGUAGAUCCUUCGGGGCUAAAUGCAUUUGUGCUAAGUUAUAGCAUUUCAUAGACAACUUGUUGACUAUGAUUUGUCUUGUAGCUUACUCGCUUAUGUUAUUUUACCUACGCUUAGGAUGUUGACAGCAGUAUAGACUGU